CAGUAGCCGCGGGAAUACGUAGGGUGCAAGCGUUAAUCGGAAUUACUGGGCGUAAAGCGCACGCAGGCGGUCUGUCAAGUCAGAUGUGAAAUCCCCGGGCUUAACCUGGGAACUGCAUUUGAAACUGGCAGGCUAGAGUCUUGUAGAGGGGGGUAGAAUUCCAGGUGUAGCGGUGAAAUGCGUAGAGAUCUGGAGGAAUACCGGUGGCGAAGGCGGCCCCCUGGACAAAGACUGACGCUCAGGUGCGAAAGCGUGGGGAGCAAACAGGAUUAGAUACCCGCGUAGUCCCUGUCUCUUAUAC
RNAcentral lists this ribosomal RNA (301 nucleotides) under uncultured bacterium. RNAcentral's name for it is "partial 16S ribosomal RNA". It matches the Rfam family "Bacterial small subunit ribosomal RNA", at positions 509 to 807 of the family's 1533-position model. The record is from RNAcentral.